UGCGUUGAUUAUUUGCAAAAC
RNAcentral lists this non-coding RNA (21 nucleotides) under Caenorhabditis elegans. The record is from RNAcentral. Lineage: Eukaryota; Metazoa; Nematoda; Chromadorea; Rhabditida; Rhabditidae.